This 253-nucleotide ribosomal RNA is filed under the name uncultured bacterium. RNAcentral describes it as "partial 16S ribosomal RNA". It matches the Rfam family "Bacterial small subunit ribosomal RNA", at positions 524 to 776 of the family's 1533-position model. The record is from RNAcentral.
UACGUAGGGACCGAGCGUUGUCCGGAAUCAUUGGGCGUAAAGAGCUCGUAGGCGGUCUGUCGCGUCGGCUGUGAAAACUCGGGGCUCAACCCCGAGCCUGCAGUCGAUACGGGCAGACUAGAGUGCUGUAGGGGAGACUGGAAUUCCUGGUGUAGCGGUGAAAUGCGCAGAUAUCAGGAGGAACACCGGUGGCGAAGGCGGGUCUCUGGGCAGUAACUGACGCUGAGGAGCGAAAGCGUGGGGAGCGAACAGG